RNAcentral lists this ribosomal RNA (207 nucleotides) under uncultured bacterium. RNAcentral's name for it is "partial 16S ribosomal RNA". It matches the Rfam family "Bacterial small subunit ribosomal RNA", at positions 568 to 774 of the family's 1533-position model. The record is from RNAcentral.
CGUGCAGGCGGUUCCGUAAGUCGGACGUGAAAGCUCCUGGCUUAACUGGGAGAGGUCGUUCGAUACUGCGGGACUUGAGGUUGGGAGAGGGACGUGGAAUUCCCGGUGUAGUGGUGGAAUGCGUAGAGAUCGGGAGGAACACCAGUGGCGAAGGCGGCGUCCUGGCCCACACCUGACGCUGAGACGCGAAAGCGUGGGGAGCGAACG